Molecule: unclassified non-coding RNA, 260 nt
Filed under: Hevea brasiliensis (rubber tree)
Lineage: Eukaryota; Viridiplantae; Streptophyta; Magnoliopsida; Malpighiales; Euphorbiaceae
Source: RNAcentral
AAAAAAAAAAAAAAAAAAGACUCUCAAGAGAACUUUCCCGCAGAGUAACUUACUCUGCCCCAAGCCUAAACAGUUGGAAAUUGCACUUUCUUUCCCAUGACCUUUGCACUAGACACUUCACCUAUUUAUACUUUUUCCUGAUGCUGUCUUCUCACGAGAAACCAUCCCUUCACCUUCACCUACCCCGCCCUCCUCCCCGGCAGGGAAGUUCCUGCCCUGACUCUAAACUCCUGUGGUAAGGGGGUUGGGGUGGGGGUUGG